This 1153-nucleotide long non-coding RNA is filed under the name Equus asinus (donkey). RNAcentral's name for it is "lncRNA (ENSEASG00005033947.1)". The record is from RNAcentral. Lineage: Eukaryota; Metazoa; Chordata; Mammalia; Perissodactyla; Equidae.
UUUCCAGCAGGUACAAGGUAGGGAAUGAGCAGUCAAGUCUAAAUUCACUGAGAAAAACCCCAGAGACGAAGCCAACUUUGUUCAAGCUUUUAAAGAAAUUUAUUUUGAAGCACCUGCAAUUUGGAAUAAUUAGAAGCACUUCGUUUUUGGCAUCCUGUCCAGCCCACGUCCAGGAGGAAUCCUGGGGACCCUGAGGCCACUUGAGAGCCACCCUUCUCCCACUUUAUGAUAAACUGCAUGCCUCCUACCAUCCUGAAGCUUACUUCCAAGGCAUGCUUUGCUUCCAAGGUAUGGAAACCUCUGGGGCAUCACACGCAGAGACAGUUCUAGAAAACAUCCCUCCUGAAGGAGAGUCCCCUGACAGGGACACAAAGGAAGUGUCCUUAGAAGAUACUGGAGGAAAGGCACUUUACUUCAUCCAGGCGACAAGGUCAAACGACAGCUGUGUGCACCAACGUCAGAAUCAGGAUUCAGAAGUGGGACGGUUGUCAUAGGCGUGCAAGGAAACUUAUUUGAGUUCAAAAAUGAAGCUGGACUUUUUCUGACGGGAACAGUCUGGUUUGGCUAAUUGACCUGAGGCGGCUGUGCCGCGAGGCUGUGCGCUGGCCGCUGUCCACCAGGAGCAAAACUGCAGACCGAACAUUUUGACAACAGGCGUUAAAGCACACGAGAAAAUAGCCUCCAUUUUAAAGUAUCGUAUUUGUAGAAGUGUGUUGAAAUUAAUAACACUUCCUCUCUCCCAAUCCUUUCCAGAAUACAUCGCGCUGAGCCAGAAGCCAAGACGAAAGAGGACAUGAGUAAUCGAUUGUCAUCCUAAUUAGCCUUUCCAGUAUAUUUCCCCAAAAUUAAGAGAAGAACUUUAUGACUGGAAAAUAAAUGCCUCACAAAGUCAGUCAGCUUCCAACGUGUUGUUUUCCUCAAAAGAACAGCGAGACCUUUUGAUUAUAGAUGACUUAUUUUUGCCAGGCAGCUCAGAUGGAGUUCGUGACUGAGAGACUCAGCGUCCAGAGCGCUCCGAUUCCUGUCUGUGUACUCACGGAGCGAGGCUGCUGCUCACUCACCUCUAUAAAGAGGAAAAACAGCAACAGCGUCGGUGCCAGCCCCUGCUCAUUGUAACAAAAAAUAAUAAAGCUAUGUAGAAUUUAAGUAUUUG